Molecule: non-coding RNA, 511 nt
Organism: Leptonychotes weddellii (Weddell seal)
Lineage: Eukaryota; Metazoa; Chordata; Mammalia; Carnivora; Phocidae
Source: RefSeq, a predicted model, not a curated record
UCGGAGGCCCGCCCUCCAGCUCGCCCCCACAGCCCGCUGCGCCUGCGGGUACUGAGAGCUCCGGCUGGCGGCGGUGACCCGGGCCCAGCGGUCUCCGCGGCCCGCGCCCCUGGUGGAGGGAAGAGCCGCCUUGGGGAGAAGGGAAAGGGAAGUGGGGGAGGCCACGGCAGCUCCUGUUAGCAGAAAGACUCAAGAGACUAAGGAGUCACUUAAUAGCUGUGUGCAAAUUUCCAAGAGCUUUUAUCCCAAGACAGCAGCACAGAUGAGGUGUCACAGAAGAACUGUCAAGUAGGCAGCUUUUCCUCCCAUGAGGUUUAGACAAUAAUGGAAUAAGUUCCUGAAGAAAAGAGGGAUAAAUCUCCCCUGAAGAGAUCUGAAAAAAGGAUAGCUGUCUACUGGUGUGAAUGUUCCUCUUGUGACUUGGAAAAGUAUACCCUUUUAGUGAAUGAAAGAGAGCUAGGAGAACAAAAUUCCUUUUCAUACCACUCACAGCUGCUUUCCCUUUGCAACA